UAGGCGACCGGCGCACGGGUGAGUAACACGUAUCCAACCUGCCGAUAACUCGGGGAUAGCCUUUCGAAAGAAAGAUUAAUAUCCGAUAGCAUAUUGAGAUCGCAUGAUUUUGAUAUUAAAGAAUUUCGGUUAUCGAUGGGGAUGCGUUCCAUUAGUUUGUUGGCGGGGUAACGGCCCACCAAGACUACGAUGGAUAGGGGUUCUGAGAGGAAGGUCCCCCACAUUGGAACUGAGACACGGUCCAA
This 245-nucleotide ribosomal RNA is filed under the name uncultured bacterium. Its description in RNAcentral is "partial 16S ribosomal RNA". It matches the Rfam family "Bacterial small subunit ribosomal RNA", at positions 88 to 334 of the family's 1533-position model. The record is from RNAcentral.